AGUAGUUUGACUCCGUGGCUCAGGACGAACGCUGGCGGCACGCUUAACACAUGCAAGUCGAACGGUGAAUCGGAGCUUGCUUUGAUUCAUAGUGGCGGACGGGUGAGUAACACGUGAGUAACCUGCCUCUGUGUGGGGAAUAGCUUCUGGAAACGGAUGGUAAUACCGCAUAACAUAUAUGUAUCGCAUGGUAUAUAUAUCAAAGAUUUAUCGCACAGAGAUGGACUCGCGUCUGAUUAGGUAGUUGGUGAGGUAACGGCUCACCAAGCCGACGAUCAGUAGCCGGACUGAGAGGUCGGACGGCCACAUUGGGACUGAGAGACGGCCCAAACUCC
This 335-nucleotide ribosomal RNA is filed under the name uncultured Oscillospiraceae bacterium. RNAcentral's name for it is "bacterial SSU rRNA". It matches the Rfam family "Bacterial small subunit ribosomal RNA", at positions 1 to 339 of the family's 1533-position model. Lineage: Bacteria; Bacillati; Bacillota; Clostridia; Eubacteriales; Oscillospiraceae. The record is from RNAcentral.